AGUGAACGCUGGCGGUAGGCCUAACACAUGCAAGUCGAACGGCAGCACAGUAAGAGCUUGCUCUUACGGGUGGCGAGUGGCGGACGGGUGAGGAAUACAUCGGAAUCUACUUUUUCGUGGGGGAUAACGUAGGGAAACUUACGCUAAUACCGCAUACGACCUACGGGUGAAAGUAGGGGAUCUUCGGACCUUGCGCGAUUGAAUGAGCCGAUGUCGGAUUAGCUAGUUGGCGGGGUAAAGGCCCACCAAGGCGACGAUCCGUAGCUGGUCUGAGAGGAUGAUCAGCCACACUGGAAAUGAGACACGGUCCAGACUCCUACGAGAAGCAGCAGUGGGGAAUAUUGGACAAUGGGCGCAAGCCUGAUCCAGCCAUACCGCGUGGGUGAAGAAGGCCUUCGGGUUGUAAAGCCCUUUUGUUGGGAAAGAAAAGCAGCAGGUUAAUACCCUGCUGUUCUGACGGUACCCAAAGAAUAAGCACCGGCUAACUUCGUG
Molecule: ribosomal RNA, 492 nt
Filed under: uncultured bacterium
Lineage: Bacteria
Description: partial 16S ribosomal RNA
Rfam family: Bacterial small subunit ribosomal RNA
Source: RNAcentral